GACGAACCGUGCAAACGUUGUUCGGAAUCACUGGGCUUAAAGGGCGCGUAGGCGGCGAAUCAAGUCCGGGGUGAAAUCUUUCGGCUCAACCGGAAAAGGGCCUUGGAUACUGGUUCGCUCGAGGGAGGUAGGGGCAUGUGGAACUUCCGGUGGAGCGGUGAAAUGCGUUGAUAUCGGAAGGAACGCCGGUGGCGAAAGCGACGUGCUGGACCUCUACUGACGCUGAGGCGCGAAAGCCAGGGGAG
RNAcentral lists this ribosomal RNA (245 nucleotides) under uncultured Gemmata sp. RNAcentral's name for it is "partial 16S ribosomal RNA". It matches the Rfam family "Bacterial small subunit ribosomal RNA", at positions 524 to 768 of the family's 1533-position model. The record is from RNAcentral. Lineage: Bacteria; Pseudomonadati; Planctomycetota; Planctomycetia; Gemmatales; Gemmataceae.